Cottoperca gobio is the source of this 116-nucleotide small nuclear RNA. Its record names the gene U5. It matches the Rfam family "U5 spliceosomal RNA". Rfam says of the family: U5 RNA is a component of both types of known spliceosome. The precise function of this molecule is unknown, though it is known that the 5' loop is required for splice site selection and p220 binding, and that both the 3' stem-loop and the Sm site are important for Sm protein binding and cap methylation. Lineage: Eukaryota; Metazoa; Chordata; Actinopteri; Perciformes; Bovichtidae. The record is from Ensembl.
UCACUCUUGUUUCCCUUCAGAGCGCAUAAAUCUUUCGCCUUUUACUAAAGAUUUCCUGUGGAGAGGAACAUUAAGAGUUAUAAAUAAUUUUUUGAUGCCCUGCUUCAUGCGGGGCU